Molecule: long non-coding RNA, 1139 nt
Organism: Symphalangus syndactylus (siamang)
Lineage: Eukaryota; Metazoa; Chordata; Mammalia; Primates; Hylobatidae
Source: RefSeq, a predicted model, not a curated record
CCCCUGGCUGCUGCGUGGAGAAAGGCUUUGAGGAACACUGACUGUAGCAGGAGACAUUCUUGGCUCUGGACAAGGAGAGGUGAGACAAAGGAGGCACAGAGAGGUUAACUGACUUUCCUGAGGUCACACAGCAAGUCUGAUGAAGAGUUCCAGUAGAAGCAUCAGCCAGUCAUUAAUUCCAGGGCAGGGUGCACAUGGAACCGGAAGGGGUGGCUGGCCAGGUAGGAGGCAGCCCCUCACCAGGGAGAGGAAAGAGUGCUCCUCUCUCCAGCCUCGCUGUGGCCUUUAACUUGCUUCACCAGGUGUCCAGAAUCACAGCUCUUUACAAGGCUGAAACCGAAGCCGCCUGAGGUUCCCGGGAGACUUGCUAAAACUUCAGCUGCACCCAGUUUAGCAGAGCAACUUGAAAGUUAAUCAGCGGUGAGGGACAAUUUGCCUCAUUAUUUCCAGCCCUGGAAUUUGGCGGCAGAUGGAAUUUGGGGCCUGGUGUGGACACGGCAAUGAACACAGCAAGGACUGUCGCCCCUUGGUAUGGCCUUGUGGGGUCUGGGCUUGGAUGGGCUGAUACUCCCUCUGAAGAUGGGCGGUGCCAGGAAGGAUUUCCCACUUGACAGAACAAGGGCAAUAAGGCUGCCCUAUCCCAGGUCCAGGCCAGUGUGGAGUAAUCCUUAGAUACACAAUUCUGAGCACAUAUUCGGACUGAACCCUGCACUGGAUUCUGGGGAAACAGAGGUGGAAUCCGAUACAGUUGCAUCCAAUAUAGGACGCAGACCAGAGGCACUGGGGUAAAUUCCCACAGGAGAGGAACACCUGUGGCUGGCACCGUCUGCAUGAAUCUGCGAAAAACAAAUCUGCCCCACUUGCCCUCACUUUCUCAAUAAGGUCCACUCAGACCCUUGACUUUAAUGUUAACCCCCUCCCAGGCACUCCCACCUCCACACUGUGUCAUACUCUCCACAGCACGUAGCACUGACCACCUUCCAACACACUAUGUUAGUUCCUCACUUAUCAUGUUUAUUGUUUAUCACAUCACCUUCCACAGGAAGGUAAGACCCUCCUUCCAUGAGGGCAGGAAUGUUUGUUUUGUUCAUUAAUGUAUCUCCAGCCCCAGCACAUAAAAUGCACUCAAUAAAUGUCAU